Molecule: ribosomal RNA, 842 nt
Filed under: uncultured bacterium
Lineage: Bacteria
Description: bacterial SSU rRNA
Rfam family: Bacterial small subunit ribosomal RNA
Source: RNAcentral
CUUGCUUCUCUUGAGAGCGGCGGACGGGUGAGUAAUGCCUAGGAAUCUGCCUGGUAGUGGGGGAUAACGUUCGGAAACGGACGCUAAUACCGCAUACGUCCUACGGGAGAAAGCAGGGGACCUUCGGGCCUUGCGCUAUCAGAUGAGCCUAGGUCGGAUUAGCUAGUUGGUGGGGUAAUGGCUCACCAAGGCGACGAUCCGUAACUGGUCUGAGAGGAUGAUCAGUCACACUGGAACUGAGACACGGUCCAGACUCCUACGGGAGGCAGCAGUGGGGAAUAUUGGACAAUGGGCGAAAGCCUGAUCCAGCCAUGCCGCGUGUGUGAAGAAGGUCUUCGGAUUGUAAAGCACUUUAAGUUGGGAGGAAGGGUUGUAGAUUAAUACUCUGCAAUUUUGACGUUACCGACAGAAUAAGCACCGGCUAACUCUGUGCCAGCAGCCGCGGUAAUACAGAGGGUGCAAGCGUUAAUCGGAAUUACUGGGCGUAAAGCGCGCGUAGGUGGUUUGUUAAGUUGGAUGUGAAAUCCCCGGGCUCAACCUGGGAACUGCAUUCAAAACUGACUGACUAGAGUAUGGUAGAGGGUGGUGGAAUUUCCUGUGUAGCGGUGAAAUGCGUAGAUAUAGGAAGGAACACCAGUGGCGAAGGCGACCACCUGGACUAAUACUGACACUGAGGUGCGAAAGCGUGGGGAGCAAACAGGAUUAGAUACCCUGGUAGUCCACGCCGUAAACGAUGUCAACUAGCCGUUGGAAGCCUUGAGCUUUUAGUGGCGCAGCUAACGCAUUAAGUUGACCGCCUGGGGAGUACGGCCGCAAGGUUAAAACUCAAUGAUUUGACGGGG